UGGCAUAAACCCGUAGAUCCGAUCUUGUGGUGAAGUAUAAUGCACAAGCUCGCUUCUAUGGGUCUGUGUCCC
Anolis carolinensis (green anole) is the source of this 72-nucleotide microRNA precursor. It matches the Rfam family "mir-10 microRNA precursor family". Rfam says of the family: In this case the mature sequence comes from the 5' arm of the precursor. The extents of the hairpin precursors are not generally known and are estimated based on hairpin prediction. NCBI's taxonomy places the organism in Eukaryota, Metazoa, Chordata, Lepidosauria, Squamata, Anolidae. The record is from Rfam.